Neogale vison (American mink) is the source of this 1525-nucleotide long non-coding RNA. RefSeq lists it as uncharacterized. The transcript has 7 exons. Lineage: Eukaryota; Metazoa; Chordata; Mammalia; Carnivora; Mustelidae. The record is from RefSeq and is a predicted model, not a curated record.
UCUGCAUAGUAUCCUCAACCAAACCUGCUCCACCAGCCACCAGAUGACUCGAACAUCUGUUCAGGAUCUUCCUGAUGUGUUAUUCAUCCCAGAAACAGUGUUCUCAUCUCCAUAUUACGGUUGGAUGAGGAAACCAAAGCUCUGAGAGGUUGUGACUCAGGUCACCAACUGUUAAGUGGAGAAGCCAGGACUGAUCCCGCUGUCCGGGCAGAGCCUGCACCACAACCACUGUACUCUACCGCCCUCUAGUGGGCCCUUGUCUGACGGUGUUUCCCCAACACAGCACUCAGUUCAGAAGCUGGAAGUCCUAGAUCAAGGGGUCAGCAGGAUUGGUUUCCUCAGGGACCUCUCCCUCCUUGCUUUGUGGAUGACUGUUUGCUCCCUGUAUCUUCACAUGGUCUUCCCGCGAUGUCAACAGCAUGGUGAAGUAGUCUUCUGCUGUCCUCUUUGGGAGGAACUCCGAUUUUGACAGUUGCCCACGGAUGAGAAUGCUUUGGGGAAGUCUAGGAGUUCAGCAGAGAAGCUCCAGCACAUCAUUGAAGAAAAAAAAUCAGGACUAGACACAUGAAAAUGGUAAAAGGAACAAUUUACUUUUACCCAUAUUGCUCCUCUUCCAAAGUGGCACAGCUCAGUGACAAGAGAGACCGAGCCAGCUGGCUGGCAGCUUCUCCCAGGGGGGGAAGUGAAGAACUAUCUGAGUGAACGCCUGGCUUCCCCAGCUGUGUGGAGAGACCCGCUUCUGUCUCCCUCCACCCAGAACCCUGAGUGUUGAAAAAGAAAGCAUCCUGUGCGGUUAUCUGGGAGGCCUCAUGAACUUGGCCCGACAUCUCAGCUGCCCUUGACCUCCGCAGCCACUGCCCCAGAAGCCAGCUGGCUUCCCGCAGCUGAGACCUGGCAGCCCCUGCCUCAGCUCCCCCCAGCGCUUCUCAUUUUCUGCUCUGAAUAUGUCUCCUUAGCACUCAGGAUCUGUGGCGUGUUACUUUCCAGCAGAAAGAAGCUUUCUCAGAGGGAAUCUAAAAUAGGCAGUGCAAAGACACCUGUGAUUUCUCUCAGCGUACUCUGAGCCACACGGGUGCAAAAGGGGAAAGUAGAUGACAGAAGACCCACCAUCUUCCCAGGGCAUGGCUUUGAAAUGCAAAUUCGUUUCCACUUGACCACAGACCAAGAAGGCACCAGAGGGAUCCCCAGAGGGAGAGUCUGAGCAGGAAUUCAUAAGUGUGUGUAUGAACUUCAGAAGCAAGUUCGGGGACAAAGAAGUCGAUUUGCACAAUGGCUGUGUAGCUGAUGUCACUGCUCCAGGACCCAGCUCGAGCUCACGAGGCACGGGGAGCAGACGGGGACCGUUGGCGUCACAGCAUCACCUGCGGGCCCAGGAGGGAGGAGCUCAGGGGCAGCAGGCUCGGCGUCAGAGGAGAUCAGCACCAAACCGAGAGAGUCUAGGAUUCUACCUACCUGAGGGAUGAUUGACAGAGUAGACAGUGGAGAGGGAGGAGAAUCAGAAUAAAGCCUCAGUGAAGCUGAGAGA